Molecule: ribosomal RNA, 254 nt
Filed under: uncultured bacterium
Lineage: Bacteria
Also listed under: 1 other name
Description: partial 16S ribosomal RNA
Rfam family: Bacterial small subunit ribosomal RNA
Source: RNAcentral
CACGUAGGGAGCAAGCGUUGUCCGGAUUUAUUGGGCGUAAAGAGCUCGUAGGCGGCUCAGUAAGUCAGGUGUGAAACCUCCAGGCUCAACCUGGAGACGCCACCUGAUACUGCUGUGGCUAGAGUCCGGUAGGGGAGCGUGGAAUUCCUGGUGUAGCGGUGAAAUGCGCAGAUAUCAGGAGGAACACCAGCGGCGAAGGCGGCGCUCUGGGCCGGAACUGACGCUGAGGAGCGAAAGCGUGGGUAGCAAACAGG